UGAUCAUAUAUUUACUGGUUAUGACAGCUAACACUUUCAAAGAAGAAAGAAAAAUAUCAGAUUAAGGAUUCGACAUCCCACAUAUUUUGAGUUCUACAUCCAAAUGAAUUAUCCGGAACUGCAUACAUUUCCCUUCAGCUAUUUUGAGUUCUACAUCCAUAUGAAUUAUCUGCAGGCUUUUAGUCAUGUUGAGACUGCAAACUGAUGUUGGUGCUACUUUUGCUACUACAUCAAACAGGCAUCAAAGAUAUAUCCUUGCCAGAUAAAAGGUAAUUUCACUUCAUCUCCAUGUGCCUCUACAUGCUUCUCCAUGAGGAUAUUUUCCCAAACGUGGAGUUUGGCCUCUCAAAGAGAUCACACAACUGAGCCUCAUAUGAAAAAGUAUGUUCUCUAGCUAUUUGCAGUGACUUAGCAAACCAUGAACUGAAGAAGAAGGAUGAUAAUGAAAUGAAGUGAAAGAAGCACAGCAAAAGCAUAUGGAGCUGCAGAGAAACAAACAGAAGCUAUCUGAAGACAUGUCAAACUCCUGAGAGCCCCACACGAGUAGUGGAUUCCUGAAAAGAAAGAGCAGCUUGCAAUAGAUAGGACCAUUUCAGCAAGCCAAAAGCCUGUGUUAAAUUUUGCUGUAUUUUCCUUAUGGAUAAGCCAGAUAUCAUAAUUAGGAUGGGAGGGGACACGGUUUGCAGCAGGCAGAAGGUCCACUUUAGUCUUUGAAUCAUUAUUACAGACUAAAAAAUAAUGAAAGCACGAUCCACAGAAAUUGCUGCUGAACACGUAGAGACCGAGAACUUCUGAUCACACAAGUACUGGCACAUCAUCAGGAACACUAUUUCUCUAGCUCUGCUGAUCCAUAUCGGUAGAUCAGAUUCCUGCAGGACCAGCGUCACUAGAAUAUUUGUAAAGCAGAGCUCCCCCUUGUGGAUUUAAGAGCCACUAGACCUUGGAAGGAACAAAACCUAGCUUUGGUACUAAGGGUUGUGCCCUAGAAUGAUUUGAUAACCCUGCCCGAGUGCAUGAGAAGCUGACUGACCUUUUGCCAAGAGAAGGGGAACCUAUCUGCAUCCCACCAUCAUCUUUUAUGCUACAAAAACUAUGAUACCUUUCAGCAACUUCCAUUAGGCAUUCCCCAGCAUUUUAGUGUGCACUAAAGUCCUUGAACUUGCUGGUGGCUGGUCAGAUGACGUACGUCGACUCAAUUAUUGGGGUAUCCCCGC
This 1214-nucleotide long non-coding RNA is filed under the name Musa acuminata (dwarf banana). Its description in RNAcentral is "long non-coding RNA (MACU_LNC008921)". Lineage: Eukaryota; Viridiplantae; Streptophyta; Magnoliopsida; Zingiberales; Musaceae. The record is from RNAcentral.